This 253-nucleotide ribosomal RNA is filed under the name uncultured bacterium. RNAcentral describes it as "partial 16S ribosomal RNA". It matches the Rfam family "Bacterial small subunit ribosomal RNA", at positions 524 to 776 of the family's 1533-position model. The record is from RNAcentral.
UACAGAGGGUGCAAACGUUGUUCGGAAUUACUGGGCGUAAAGCGUGUGUAGGCGGUUUGCUAAGUCGGGUGUGAAAGCCCCGGGCUCAACCCGGGAAGUGCACUCGAAACUGGCAGGCUAGAGUACUGGAGAGGUUGGUGGAAUUCUCGGUGUAGAGGUGAAAUUCGUAGAUAUCGAGAGGAACAUCGGUGGCGAAGGCGGCCUUCUGGACGGUGACUGACGCUGAGACGCGAAAGCGUGGGGAGCAAACAGG